Molecule: ribosomal RNA, 623 nt
Filed under: uncultured organism
Description: bacterial SSU rRNA
Rfam family: Bacterial small subunit ribosomal RNA
Source: RNAcentral
GCAUGCAAGUCGAACGGUAUGCAGUGCUUGCACUGCAGAGAGUGGCGAACGGGUGAGUAACACGUAGGUAAUCUACCUUUCAGAUGGGGGAUAGUCCAUGGAAACAUGGAGUAAUACCGCAUAAUGUCCUUCGGGAUUAAAGACGCAAUUGUGUCGUCUGAAGAUGAGCCUGCGCUCCAUUAGCUAGUAGGUAGGGUAAAAGCCUACCUAGGCGAUGAUGGAUAGCCGGCCUAAGAGGGCGAACGGCCACACUGGGACUGAGACACGGCCCAGACUUCUACGGAAGGCAGCAGCUAAGAAUCUUCCGCAAUGGACGAAAGUCUGACGGAGCGACGCCGCGUGAACGAUGAAGGCCGAAAGGUUGUAAAGUUCUUUUCUUUGGGAAGAAUAAUGAUGAGAGUGGACUGCUCAUCAGAUGACGUUACCUUAGGAAUAAGCCCCGGCCAAUUACGUGCCAGCAGCCGCGGUAAUACGUAAGGGGCAAGCGUUGUUCGGAAUUAUUGGGCGUAAAGGGCGUGUAAGCGGUUUUAUAAGCUUGGUGUUAAAUACUCUGGCUCAACCAGAGAGAUGCGCUGAGAACUGUAUGACUAGAGUUCCAAGGAGGAAGCUGGAAUUCCUGGUGU